GCGGAGGGCUGGAUGACCGCGUGGCACCGGGUCCAGGACCCGUCGCCGCGAGGAAAGUCCGGACUCCAUGAGGCGACGGUGCCGGGUAACGCCCGGCGGGGGCAACCCCAGGGAAAGCGCCACAGAGAACAGACCGCCCGCGUCCGCGCGGGUAAGGGUGAAACGGUGGGGUAAGAGCCCACCGGGGGGCUGGCAACAGACCCCGCAUGGCAAGCCCCACCGGGAGCAAUGCCGAAUAGGGACCGCGCGCGGGGGCAACCCCGCAGGGCCGCCUUGCCCCAGCAGGUCCGGGUAGGCAGCUAGAUCCGGCCGGUAACGGCCGGGCCAGAUGAAUGGUCAUCCAGAGGGGCAACCCCUUGGACAGAAUCCGGCUUACAGGCCCUCCGCGCGU
This 391-nucleotide RNase P RNA is filed under the name Paracoccus homiensis. RNAcentral describes it as "Bacterial RNase P class A". It matches the Rfam family "Bacterial RNase P class A". From Rfam's summary of the family: Ribonuclease P (RNase P) is a ubiquitous endoribonuclease, found in archaea, bacteria and eukarya as well as chloroplasts and mitochondria. Its best characterised activity is the generation of mature 5'-ends of tRNAs by cleaving the 5'-leader elements of precursor-tRNAs. The record is from Rfam by way of RNAcentral. Lineage: Bacteria; Pseudomonadati; Pseudomonadota; Alphaproteobacteria; Rhodobacterales; Paracoccaceae.